GUAAUUUCCCCCACCCAGGUAUCUCUGCUAACCUUUUCCCAACUAAUUUCUAGGAAAAUGGAAGGUUAAUUCUGUCUUUUCCACAAACGAAAAGAUUUUCCAGGGAAAGGAAAUAUGGCUUGCAGUGUUGGCAAUGUGCUCCGUUUCUUCUUCCCCUUCUCUCUCUUUUUGCAGUUAGUUAAGCUGCUCCAAUCUCUUCACCUACUCUUUAGCAAACACCAAAUUAAAUUACCUUAAUAAGUAUUUUAUUAAUUGUAUACAAUUUUUUUCUUCUUUUUAUUUCCUUCAUUCAAGUUAGUUUUAUAAAUUAUACUAUAUAUGUUGCUGCUGCUGGUUGUACAUAGCUCUUCUUCUCUUUCCUUUUUUUUUUCUUGAAUUUUUUAGAGCAAAAAUCGAAAAUGCCUCUGGUUAGAGCUCAGGUGAGGAAUGAGUACGGGCUUGGUCAACCGGAGCUUUACAAGGAAGUCAAUAGAGAAGAUCCAAAAGCUGUUCUCGACGGCAUCGCCGUCGCCGGCCUCGUUGGGAUCUUGCGCCAGUUAGGCGAUCUUGCUGAAUUUGCAGCAGAGGUUUUUCAUGGAUUACAAGAGCAAGUAAUGAGCACAGCUUCUAGGAGUCAUAAAUUGACGAUUCGUGUGCAACGGAUUGAAGCUGCGCUUCCGCCUCUUGAGAAGGCUGUUCUUGCCCAGACUAGUCAUAUUCACUUUGCUUAUACAGCUGGUUCUGAAUGGCACCCUCGGAUUCGGAAUGAGAAAAAUCUUUUCAUUUACAAUGACUUGCCACGAUUUAUUAUGGAUUCCUAUGAAGUUUGUCGCGACCCUCCACAUCUACACUUGCUUGACAAAUUUGAUGCUGGUGGCCCAGGAUCUUGUUUACAGAGAUAUUCUGAUCCAACCUUCUUUAAGCGAGCUUCAGGUAGCUCCAUUGAAGAAGAUGUUGAGAAAGUCCAAAGAGAUAAGAGGAGUCGUAAAAGCAAGAAAAGAAGAUCGUCCCACAGGAAUGGCAAACUAUUACGUGGUGCAUCAUUAUCAAGUUGCAGUGGCAGAAUGCAGUUUACUUCUGUACUUGCUAAUGGGCGAACUUCCUCUCAAAAUGCAUCAACAGUUGAUAUGGCACCGAAAUCUGAUAUGGGAGAGCAUUCAAGUUCUUUUGAUUCAAGAACUGGGUCUGGAUAUAUUGAAUGUGCUUUCAAUCUUGGUUCAUCCAUGCUAGAGGAAUUGGAACCCAAGCAAUUCUCCUCUAAGCUGAUGCAAGAAACAGAUACCCUUGGUUCCAAUUUUCCUGUUGAUCAAACUCGGGUUCUAGAUGAUAAUUUUUCACGUAGUUCAUCACAAGAGCAGAUUGUCCCUAGUUUAUCUUGUGUAACAUGGGAUGAAAAGGCAGAAAUAGUGGAGUCCAAAGCAGGAAAUCGGGAUAUAGAUGAAGUUCCAGAGAUGAACUUUGAUGUAGAUGUGCAGGAAAUUGGAAUUGCCAAUGCCGGAAAUGGUGACCAAGUGCAUAUCCCCUUUAAUGAUGUGGAUGCUCCCCAAGCAAGCAUUAUUGAGAACCAAAAUGAUGAAAUUGAAAGUGAACCAGACAAUUACAUGGAUGCACUGAACACAAUAGAGUCGGAAUCUGAAAAUGAUAUUGAGUGCCAUAGAAAACAAGAAGUGGAACAGUGUUCUGAAAAUGAUAUCGAGUGUCAAAGAGAACUGGGAAUGGAACGGAGUGAAGAUACUAACAACAUUAGUAAUGAGAAUAGAGAAGAUGAAGAGGUUGUUAUGGAUGAUAACGUGGACAGUACUUCAUCUAUAAUUGAACCGUCUGCCUCAUCCAAUAUUAUUUCUAGCAAUGGGAUGUCUGGGAGUUCAUCUGAUCCAGUAGCCUCUGAGAAUAUUCCCUGUGAACAGGUGCCUCAAAUCUUAGGCAAAUCUUCUGACCCUGAUCGUACAUCAAAUACUGGUUUAUGCAUAAGUGAGGAAAUCUGUAAUGGCUCACAAGCGGAAUUUGUCAUCAGUGAUCCAUCACCAUCCUCUGGCUCCACAGUUUCUGAUAUGCAUGAUCCAGCCGGAGAUAGGAUCAUGAACAGUGUUAAUGACUCUCAAAACUCCCAGACUGAAUCUUCUGUGCAUUCAGUUGGGUUCUGGACAAAUGGUGGCCUUUUGGGACUUCAGCCAUCAAAACCUCCUGAUUUUGCUGUAUCAACUGUAGGUCAGGGUUCUGCAGCUACAACUAGUGAAGUAUUUGGUCCUCCAAAUCAAAUACUUAUGUCUUUGCAAGAUGGACUCAAAGGAAAUGCAGGCACUGUGGUUGAGAAUGCUAAUUUAGAUGCAAACCUUGGAAGACCUGUUAAUUCUCAUUUUAAUGAUAAUCUUGAUAAUUUAAAUGGUGUUGGCUCUAGCCUAAAUACCUCAUUGCCACAUGGAAACAAGAACCCGGUCAAUCCUAACAUCAAAGCUACAUCUAUUGAAUCUGAUGAGGAGGAGGAUGACAAGUCAUCUAGGAUGUUUGGACUUGGCCAUAAAUUACUUGUAAAUGGUUUUCGCAGAAAGGUGUCAAUUGGCAAUGAUGAUGAUUCUGAACCAGCCACUUCUAGAAAAACUGGGGUAUUGGAGCCUAGGAAUGAGCUGCAGCGCAUAUCGUAUCAGAAAAUUCCUCAGACGACCGUUAAUGAACAGAUCGGAAAUGGAUCUCCCAUAAAUUCACUUACUUCUUCUCCACCACUUGAACAUAUGAAAAUAUCCUUCAACCCUUUAGAUGGAUUUGGGACUUCCAAACUCAAAUUGCAAUUUCCUGAUGGGAAUCAUUAUCAUGAAAACAUUAGAGACAUGUUUCCUUCAUUUCAGUUGGUCCCAGUGCCUGCUAUUUCAGCUCAUGGUGUUGCUUCAGACUCUGAUGAUGAUACUUUCUGCAGAUCAUCCCCUUAUAUGUCUGAUGACUGCCUUAGUCAUUGCUCUGAGUCAAAUUCUGAGCAGUGGGAAUCUGGUGAAGCACCUGAAAGCAAUGAUCCUGCGCUGCAUGAUGCAUUAAGCAGAUUGUCAUCGAUGGAAUCUGUUUCAAGCUGUUUACAAGUUAGGGGAGCAGCCAAUAAUGGCAUCUGUGUUAAUGGGGGAAAUAAAAAACCUAUAGCACCGGGGUCUAGUGCAGCAGAACCAUCUCUAUCUAUGCCACUCGAUCUCCCAGGUUUUGAUGUCAUUAACCCUGUACUGCAUGAUGAAACCGAAAGUAAUUCUGAUCAAAAGAAUCAGGUAAAAUUGCAAAAUGCAAUGCAGCUCAAACCAUUGCCUCCACCUCCCCCCCCUGCACAAUGGCGGGUUUCAAAACCCUGCUUCAACGAGGCAGAAGAAAGACAACAUGCUUUAUCAGAGUCACUGAGACAUGAGCUUGAUCUGAAACUUCUUAGUUCUUUUGUCUCUCAGAAGCCUGAGCCAGCUUUAGUUAAUCAACAGAAAAUAAAUGAUAAGGCAAAUGCAUUGCAACCAGAGAAGAAGGUGGACGAAGAGAAAAAUAAUGGACAGAAAGGCGUAAGCCUGCUCAGUGGUGGCCGAGGGAUGGAUGAAAAGGAAGAUUUCUUGCAUCAGAUCAGAACUAAAUCUUUCAACCUAAGACCCACAGCCACUGCAAGACCAACUGUUAUUUCUGGUCCCACUGCAAAUGUCCAGGUCACUGCAAUUUUGCAGAAAGCAAAUGCAAUUCGCCAGGCUGUUGGGAGUGAUGACGAUGAUAACUGGAGUGACAAUUAAUUAUUUUGGAAUACGAAUGCAGAAGACAAUCAGAAGUUCUCCCAGUCUUGGGUUUUCAAAUUUGGGGAAUUGUUAUUUCCUCUUAGGACUGAGGACGCGAGGUUAUUGCUACCGAAAAUUGCUUUACUAUUUUGGCACGUCAACUAGGAGUCAGAAAUUAUAAUGCAACUUGAUAUGGAUGAAUUGUGUGUAAGAAAGCAUUUCAGUUUGGCCGUUGAAUAUAAGGAAAGCUGGAUGUUGUGUCGUCGUUAGAACAUGGAUGUUGCCAAUUUAUGCAGCAAAUAAAGAAUGAUUACAAUUGCCCGUUUCUCCGUCUUGCUUGAAAGUGUAAUUUUCAGCGGCAACAAAAACAGGGAUUAGCAGUGCCGGUUAAUUGCGUGCACAGUAGCCACUAACUUGGUUUUGAAUCAUCAUUACUUUGUUUUUCUUGUGUUUUGCAUUCAAAUAUUUAAUUUAAUUAAACCGUUUCGGGAGUGUUUCAAUACAAAAGGUAAAUGAUUAGAAUAUUGAGUUUUUUC
Molecule: RNA transcript, 4237 nt
Organism: Gossypium raimondii (Peruvian cotton)
Lineage: Eukaryota; Viridiplantae; Streptophyta; Magnoliopsida; Malvales; Malvaceae
Gene name: protein SCAR3
Exons: 10
Source: RefSeq, a predicted model, not a curated record